RNAcentral lists this ribosomal RNA (456 nucleotides) under Ctenophora environmental sample. RNAcentral describes it as "partial Bacterial large subunit ribosomal RNA". It matches the Rfam family "Bacterial large subunit ribosomal RNA", at positions 1399 to 1749 of the family's 2925-position model. Lineage: Eukaryota; Metazoa; Ctenophora. The record is from RNAcentral.
AGGCCGACAGGCGUAGUCGAUGGGUAACCAGUUGAUAUUCUGGUACCGGCUUGUCACCGUCCGUGUCGAGGUGUGUGAUGCUAAGCAUGUGAGCUUGUCUUGGGAGUGUUUUUGAUGCUUCUGGGGUGGGUGAGUGUGUGAACCGAUCAUGUAGUAGGCAAGCUGCGGAGGGACGCAGUGAGGUAGCUCAUCCCCGGUGAUGGUUGUCCGGGGCUAAGUGUGUGGACUGUCUGGUAGGUAAAUCCGCUGGGCGUGAAGGUUGAGGCAUGAUGGGGAGCCCAUGGUUGUGGGUGAGUGAGUGAUCCUGUACUGUCGAGAAAAGCUUCGUGAGCGAGGUGGCGGGUCCGCCCGUACCCUAAACCGACACUGGUGGAUAGGUAGAGUAUACCGAGGCGAUCGAGUGAAUCGUGGUGAAGGAACUCGGCAAAAUGCCCCCGUAACUUUGGGAUAAGGGGU